UUAUUUUCAGUGCUGCCUUUGAACUUAAGAGUGAGAUUCAUUGAUGAUAAUUGAAGUAUUUUAGGCUUGAAAAAAAAUUCAUCUCCUGCUUGGUCAGUUCUGUUAUAAGCAAGGAGAUUAAGGGCAUGAAUAGGCUGCUUACUUAUCUUUGCCUUCAGUAUCUCUCCCCCUCUUCCCCACACACAAAAAUGCACUCCAGACUGCUCUUCACAUCUUCCUUCAGGGCGUAUCCUGGAUCUAAAGACUGGAACAGUGAAAAAGGAAGGUCAGCAGUCUUCCAUGAGAAUGUGUAUGGGCUCAAGGAGAUCGUUUAUUUGCCGAAUGAGGUGUGGCAGUAGCUCUGUGGACCCAGUUUCUGUGAAUAGGCUGAGCUUUGUGAGGAACAGAUGCAGGAAUGGACUUGGCUCUGUAAAGGAUGGGGAACCUCACUUCGUGGUGGUCCACUGCACAGGCUACAUCAAGGCCUGGCCCCCAGCAGGUGUUUCCCUCCCAGAUGAUGACCCAGAGGCUGGCCAGGGAAGCAAGUUUUGCCUAGUGGCCAUUGGCAGAU
This 550-nucleotide small RNA is filed under the name Pan troglodytes (chimpanzee). Its description in RNAcentral is "retained intron". Lineage: Eukaryota; Metazoa; Chordata; Mammalia; Primates; Hominidae. The record is from RNAcentral.